This 588-nucleotide ribosomal RNA is filed under the name uncultured euryarchaeote. Its description in RNAcentral is "bacterial SSU rRNA". It matches the Rfam family "Archaeal small subunit ribosomal RNA", at positions 851 to 1441 of the family's 1478-position model. Lineage: Archaea; Methanobacteriati; Methanobacteriota. The record is from RNAcentral.
GAAACUUAAAGGAAUUGGCGGGGGAGCACAGCAACGGGAGGAGCGUGCGGUUUAAUUGGAUUCAACGCCGGAAAACUCACCGGAGGCGACGGUUACAUGAAGGCCAGGCUGAUGACCUUGCCUGAUUUUCCGAGAGGUGGUGCAUGGCCGCCGUCAGUUCGUACCGUAAGGCGUUCUGUUAAGUCAGAUAACGAACGAGACCCUCAUCCUUAAUUGCUACUAAUGACUUCGGUUGUUAGGCACAUUAAGGAGACCGCUGACGAUAAGUCAGAGGAAGGCGAGGGCAACGGUAGGUCAGUAUGCCCUGAAUCCUCCGGGCUACACGCGCGCUACAAAGGCCAGGACAAUGGGUUUCGACACCGAAAGGUGGAGGUAAUCCCGAAACCUGGUCAUAGUUCGGAUUGAGGGCUGAAACUCGCCCUCAUGAAGCUGGAUUCCGUAGUAAUCGCGGAUCAACAUCCCGCGGUGAAUAUGCCCCUGCUCCUUGCACACACCGCCCGUCAAACCAUGCGAGUUGGGUUCAAGUGAGGAUGUAGUAUUUUGCUGCGUUCAAACUUGGGCUUAGCAAGCGGGGUUAAGUCGUAACAA